GGGGGGGGGGGGGUUGUUAGAAAGGAAGAGAGAUGUGUUUUAGAGAGCAAUCUAUUUUGCUGGUGUUGGGGGUUAAUGACUAUUGCCAAAGAUAAGUGAAUUAUCAAAGCUGUUGCUCUCGCCUUGUCUCAAAAUCCGUUACAUUGCCUGCUCGUCUAAUUAAAUACGAAAAUCAGAGAAGAAGGGUUUGAUGGCAAAGAGACAGCGCACGGCAUCCAGACGCAACAGGCAUGAUAAAGGUUGGUCAGAACUCAGAACUUCAGCUGUCAAAACGACGAGCCAUUCGUGGUCUCACGUCCAGCUAAACAACAUGGAAGUGCAGAUGAAGGCAAAACAGAUUGGGACCAAAAAUGUACCAUUAAAGAGGAUGUAAAAUUGUGCCUUUAUGCUACAUCUUUUGUCCAGCAUCUUUGGAGCAUUCUGUUACUUAAGAGGGGG
This 438-nucleotide long non-coding RNA is filed under the name Scleropages formosus (Asian bonytongue). RNAcentral's name for it is "lncRNA (ENSSFOG00015025609.1)". Lineage: Eukaryota; Metazoa; Chordata; Actinopteri; Osteoglossiformes; Osteoglossidae. The record is from RNAcentral.